GAGAAGAGAAGAAGGAAACUACGACCAAGGAGGUUGACGUGACGGUGGAGAAGAUCCCUACAGAGAAGGUAUCCGAGGAAGGAGAACACGAUGAGGCGGUUGGAGAGGAAGUGAAAGGAGGAGGAAUGGUUGGGAUGAUUAAAGGAUGGUUCGGUGGUGGUGCGACUGAGGAGGUGAAGCCAAAAUCGCCACAUUCCACUGAAGAGUCUCCACAAUCACUUGGCACCACCGUUGGUACGUAAAAUUCAUCACUCGUCCUAAUUAUGAGUUUAAUCUAAGAUUUUGGUGUUGUUUCUUGUAUUGUGAUUUACUCAGAAUGUCUUGUUGCAAUGAUAGGGAC
Molecule: long non-coding RNA, 340 nt
Filed under: Capsella rubella
Lineage: Eukaryota; Viridiplantae; Streptophyta; Magnoliopsida; Brassicales; Brassicaceae
Description: long non-coding RNA (CRUB_LNC001002)
Source: RNAcentral